RNAcentral lists this long non-coding RNA (555 nucleotides) under Sinocyclocheilus anshuiensis. RNAcentral's name for it is "lncRNA (ENSSANG00000014236.1)". Lineage: Eukaryota; Metazoa; Chordata; Actinopteri; Cypriniformes; Cyprinidae. The record is from RNAcentral.
GAUUUAAUGAGUAUGGGGGAGGUAAAUGGUAGAAAUAGCAAUGUGAACUACAUUUCCCAUGACCCCCUUCAGUCAACAUGUUUGAAUACUCACAUCAGAGCAGCAUUUUCUUGUUCAAUGUGUUGUUGCUUCUCCUCCAUGGAUUUGACACAAGCUUCAAAAACAUCAACAAACAACUUUAAGAAGUUACCUGAGCAGUUUCCCAACCACCAUUAUGCUACAGCAUUGGCGCCACAGUCUGUGAGGCAUGUUACUUCAAGCAGCGUGAGCUUGUUAUCCCUAAAAGACAGAGGAAAAGAGCCCGACCGAGGAGAACCAGGGGUGUGGAGGAGACAAGACAAGGAAUUUCAAUGAAACCGACUGAAAUGCUGGAACAACAACACGGACAACCAAACGUCCUUUGGGAAGCAGAUCGCAUUUGGAUUGGGUUUUGUUCGGGCUGAGGUAAAAACAACACUAUGUCAUCAAGCACACUGCAUCAUGUCGCAUAUAAUACAAUUACGGCCCACUCAAUGCGUUUCCUAAUGCAAUGUAAAAUUUGUUUAGACAUCUCCC